AUUGAACGCUGGCGGCAGGCCUAACACAUGCAAGUUGAACGGUAACAGGAAACAGCUUGCUGUUUCGCUGACGAGUGGCGGACGGGUGAGUAAUGUCUGGGAAACUGCCUGAUGGAGGGGGAUAACUACUGGAAACGGUAGCUAAUACCGCAUAACGUCGCAAGACCAAAGAGGGGGACCUUCGGGCCUCUUGCCAUCGGAUGUGCCCAGAUGGGAUUAGCUAGUAGGUGGGGUAACGGCUCACCUAGGCGACGAUCCCUAGCUGGUCUGAGAGGAUGACCGGCCCCACUGGAACUUAGACACGGUCCAGACUCCUACGGGAGGCAGCAGUGGGGAAUAUUGCGCAAUAGGCGCAAGCCUGAUGCAGCCAUGCCGCGUGUAUGAAGAAGGCCUUCCGGUUGUAAAGUACUUUCAGCGGGGGGGAAGGGAGUAAAGUUAAUACCUUUGCUCAUUGACGUUACCCGCAGAAGAAGCACCGGCUAACUCCGUG
RNAcentral lists this ribosomal RNA (490 nucleotides) under uncultured bacterium. RNAcentral's name for it is "partial 16S ribosomal RNA". It matches the Rfam family "Bacterial small subunit ribosomal RNA", at positions 30 to 507 of the family's 1533-position model. The record is from RNAcentral.